This 73-nucleotide transfer RNA is filed under the name Patescibacteria group bacterium. RNAcentral describes it as "tRNA-Gln". It matches the Rfam family "tRNA". Rfam says of the family: Transfer RNA (tRNA) molecules are approximately 80 nucleotides in length. The record is from RNAcentral.
GCAGCUAUAGCUCAUCUGGUAGAGCACAUCCCUCUGGAGGAUGCGGUAGCUAGUUCAAAUCUAGCUAGCAGCA